This 74-nucleotide transfer RNA is filed under the name Staphylococcus aureus. RNAcentral's name for it is "tRNA-Pro". It matches the Rfam family "tRNA". Rfam says of the family: Transfer RNA (tRNA) molecules are approximately 80 nucleotides in length. Their secondary structure includes four short double-helical elements and three loops (D, anti-codon, and T loops). Further hydrogen bonds mediate the characteristic L-shaped molecular structure. tRNAs have two regions of fundamental functional importance: the anti-codon, which is responsible for specific mRNA codon recognition, and the 3' end, to which the tRNAs corresponding amino acid is attached (by aminoacyl-tRNA synthetases). tRNAs cope with the degeneracy of the genetic code in two manners: having more than one tRNA (with a specific anti-codon) for a particular amino acid; and 'wobble' base-pairing, i.e. permitting non-standard base-pairing at the 3rd anti-codon position. Lineage: Bacteria; Bacillati; Bacillota; Bacilli; Caryophanales; Staphylococcaceae. The record is from RNAcentral. RNAcentral also lists the same sequence under 3 other names.
CGGGAAGUAGCUCAGCUUGGUAGAGCACUUGGUUUGGGACCAAGGGGUCGCAGGUUCGAAUCCUGUCUUCCAGA